Drosophila virilis is the source of this 1686-nucleotide non-coding RNA. Lineage: Eukaryota; Metazoa; Arthropoda; Insecta; Diptera; Drosophilidae. The record is from RefSeq and is a predicted model, not a curated record.
CGGAUUGCGUUUUCAGUCUGUGAGCAGCUGCGUGAGCCGCACGACGAUCAACGAAUCAGCGAACGAUCGUGCUGAUCGUGCCUGAAGUUAAGUGCACGCCAUAGGGAAAGACGUUAAAAGUGGCCGAUCAAAAUGUACGGCAAGUGUGUGACAGACCCAAUGAUAAAGUUGCUGUGUACAAAUAAUAAAUCUCUAAGACUUAAGCCUAAAAGAUGAUCAAAGAUCAGUGUUAACUACAGAUUGCGAAGGCGGCAGGCGGCUGCUGGCUGGCGGCAAACGGCCACAAGAAGUUGCAAGCGAGUCGCAGUUCAGGUACCUUGCUGCCUACCAGCGGUGGCAUCAACAGUUCAGCCUCAAGAUGUUGCCGACGCGCACAAUGUGCGGCUUUAAGAAAUGCCGAAUUCCAGAAGCUGCAGUACAAUCAGUUGAAUUAAAAAACAGCCCACAGACAGAGACAGACGGAGCGAGAGAGAGAGAGAGCCAGAGCGAGAGCGAGAGCGGGUGGCAGGGUGGUAGCAAGAGGGAGAUAGCUGCGAGGACAACGCGACGAUAUCAUCGCACAGCUGCGGCCUAGGAAAUUAAGAGGACAUUGUGGCGGCAUGUGGUCAGAACUCAACGCGCGGCGGCUUAAACACAAAAUCCAGCUCCAGCUCCAGCUACAGCCGCAACCGCAGCCGUCCAGCUCCAUGCUGCAGACGCAGUCGCUGGGUUCGGGCCACGCAAGAUUCUUUGCGUUGUUGCGUUGUUGGUGGCGGCUCGCGAUGGCAACCGCCACUGGCCGGCCACUGACAGAGGUCGCCCUCGUACGUAAUCGGCGAGCAUUGCAAAUGCUUUUGUGCCGUCUGUUUCGCCUGUCGCGCUGCCUUGUGCUGCGCACGUGGCCAACUUGGUGACGCUUGGCCCCAAAAACAACAGCAGCAACAGCAGCAGCAGCAGCCGCAACAGGGGCAGCAAAUCAUUGAAAUGUCGUUAGAGGCUCGAGCGGCACGCGGCUACGAUAGUCAGCCGAACCGCAAAAUGCUUUUAAUUUCUCAAACUGAUAUGUACUUAGUGUGCCCAGGUUCGAUCCGUAGAGGGGGCCAAGAACAUGUGUGUCCGUGUGUGUAUGUGUUUGUGGACAAGAGCUAAGCAGUUGGAGGAGUUGCGGCGCGAGGAGGUGGACUUUGGGUGUGCUACAACUUGAAAUAGUUCAAGGAGUUCGCAUUGUUCGAAUGGGCUUCAAUAUAAGCUAAUUUUAGCUCAAAGGGAGUUCACAUUUGAUAACAUGAGCUGCAGCACUACUUAAAAGUACUCAAGAAUAUUCAAAUUAACAAUAAUUAAAUUCAAUUUGAAUAUUUUUAAAACUUUACAACUUUCUUGAUUUGUAUAAUAAGGAAUAUUAUUUCUGAAUAAUAUUUUCCAAGUGCCAUUGACAAGCCCAAAGCUAGAUUUACUAGAUGCAUUUAUUUUUUAUUAAAUUGAAUUUUUCUUUUGAUGGUUAAGAAACUGUUAAGCAUUUUAAAUAACGUAAAAAUCUGCCCAAAAGAAUAUGUUAUAGCCAUGAAAGAGUUUAGGCUCAAACAUUUAACCCAAAGCACAAAACUGUACCUAAGAAAAACAAAAAUAAAAGUCCAAAGGGUCACUGCACACGAUCAGCAAACACUUUGAAAAGUAUACUAAUAAAAGCUAAAGCCAAUAAACUUACAA